UUUAUGUCGGCGACCGGCGCACGGGUGAGUAACGCGUAUCCAACCUACCCAUAACUAAGGGAUAACCAGCGAAAGUUGGACUAAUACCUUAUGUAUUCGUUUGACCUCAUGAGAUUACGAAUAAAGAUUUAUCGGUUAUGGAUGGGGAUGCGUCUGAUUAGCUUGUUGGCGGGGUAACGGCCCACCAAGGCAACGAUCAGUAGGGGUUCUGAGAGGAAGGUCCCCCACAUUGGAACUGAGACACGGUCCAAACUCCUACGGGAGGCAGCAGCA
This 273-nucleotide ribosomal RNA is filed under the name uncultured Prevotella sp. Its description in RNAcentral is "partial 16S ribosomal RNA". It matches the Rfam family "Bacterial small subunit ribosomal RNA", at positions 82 to 355 of the family's 1533-position model. The record is from RNAcentral. Lineage: Bacteria; Pseudomonadati; Bacteroidota; Bacteroidia; Bacteroidales; Prevotellaceae.